UUGAUCCUGGCUCAGGAUGAACGCUAGCUACAGGCUUAACACAUGCAAGUCGAGGGGAAACGAUAGAGAAAGCUUGCUUUUUCUAGGCGUCGACCGGCGCACGGGUGAGUAACGCGUAUCCAACCUGCCCAUCACUUGGGGAUAACCUUGCGAAAGUAAGACUAAUACCCAAUGACGUCUCUAGAAGACAUCUGAAGGAGAUUAAAGAUUUAUCGGUGAUGGAUGGGGAUGCGUCUGAUUAGCUUGUUGGCGGGGUAACGGCCCACCAAGGCGACGAUCAGUAGGGGUUCUGAGAGGAAGGUCCCCCACAUUGGAACUGAGACACGGUCCAAACUCCUACGGGAGGCAGCAGUGAGGAAUAUUGGUCAAUGGGCGAGAGCCUGAACCAGCCAAGUAGCGUGCAGGAAGACGGCCCUAUGGGUUGUAAACUGCUUUUAUAAGGGAAUAAAGUGGGAGUCGUGACUCCUUUUGCAUGUACCUUAUGAAUAAGGACCGGCUAAUUCCGUGCCAGCAGCCGCGGUAAUACGGAAGGUCCGGGCGUUAUCCGGAUUUAUUGGGUUUAAAGGGAGCGUAGGCCGGAGAUUAAGCGUGUUGUGAAAUGUAGACGCUCAACGUCUGCACUGCAGCGCGAACUGGUUUCCUUGAGUACGCACAAAGUGGGCGGAAUUCGUGGUGUAGCGGUGAAAUGCUUAGAUAUCACGAAGAACUCCGAUUGCGAAGGCAGCUCACUGGAGCGCAACUGACGCUGAAGCUCGAAAGUGCGGGUAUCGAACAGGAUUAGAUACCCUGGUAGUCCGCACGGUAAACGAUGGAUGCCCGCUGUUGGUCUGAAUAGGUCAGCGGCC
This 845-nucleotide ribosomal RNA is filed under the name uncultured bacterium. Its description in RNAcentral is "bacterial SSU rRNA". It matches the Rfam family "Bacterial small subunit ribosomal RNA", at positions 13 to 848 of the family's 1533-position model. The record is from RNAcentral.